This 945-nucleotide long non-coding RNA is filed under the name Chinchilla lanigera (long-tailed chinchilla). RNAcentral describes it as "lncRNA (ENSCLAG00000028842.1)". The record is from RNAcentral. Lineage: Eukaryota; Metazoa; Chordata; Mammalia; Rodentia; Chinchillidae.
CAACAAAUUUGCAGCUAGCAAUUGUAAAAAGAUAGAAGAGGGCCGAGGAUACAGCUCAGUGGUGUAAGUGCUUGCCUGUCUGGCAAGCACAAGGUCCUGAGUCGAUUCCCGGUACCAAAAAAAAAAUUUAAAAAUGGAAGAAUUAUUUUAUUUCAUUCCACUGUGGAUGUUCUCACUGUGUCUUAAUUCUCUUUGUAGUUGAAACCUGAGGAGAAGAUGUUCUUCAAAAGCCCUGUGGAGACAGCUUUGCAGUAUUUUAGUCAUAUUUCUCAGGUGUGGAGUUUCCAGAAGAAGCAAACAAAUCUCCUCAUUGCCUUUUAUAAGCACAGAAUUACAAAGUUAGAAGCUGCCAUUCAGGAGGCACAGCAAACAGUGGCCAACCAGGACAAAGAGCUGUCAGUCUUGAGAAAAGAAAAUGAAGAAAUGAAGAAACUUAUAGCCUUCCUAAAGGAAUCUCCAAGUCGGUACCAAGGAAGCAGGCUGACUACACCUCGACCAGUGGGCAUUACUUCUCCAUCACAGUCAGUUACGCCGCGACCCAGUUGCCAGCAUAGCAGCCAGGUGGUCAGCCGGUCCUCCUCUGUGGAAUCAAUCCCUUAUAGAGUGCCUGGUUUUGGUACUGUGGGACAAGAAGGCAGAGUCCUGCAGGGAAGGAGCACUCCCAGAGACUCUAGCAUUGAAACUCCUUCACCAGCUUCAACUCACAACCUAUCUUACAGAACUUCAUCUGCCUCCUCUGGGCAGGGGACUUUUUGUUUCAGACCAUUUCUAAAUGGGGAGUCAGGCCACAUAAGAGUCCUCACCCCUAACAAUCCUGGUCAAAGGGGGAGCAGAACACCUCUGGAGAGUUUUUCUGGCUUCCAACUACCAGUCAUGCAGACUCUUUACCAACAGAGGCAGAUGGGAUCAGGUAGGGAGAGAGACGCCUACACCACUCCCAGAUAG